RNAcentral lists this ribosomal RNA (253 nucleotides) under uncultured bacterium. RNAcentral describes it as "partial 16S ribosomal RNA". It matches the Rfam family "Bacterial small subunit ribosomal RNA", at positions 524 to 776 of the family's 1533-position model. The record is from RNAcentral.
GACGUAGGGCGCGAGCGUUGUCCGGAUUUAUUGGGCGUAAAGAGCUCGUAGGCGGCUCAUUGCGUCAACCGUGAAAUCCUGCUGCUCAACGGCAGGUCUGCGGUUGAUACGGGUGGGCUGGAGUUCGGUAGGGGAGACUGGAAUUCUCGGUGUAGCAGUGAAAUGCGUAGAUAUCGAGAGGAACACCAGUGGCGAAGGCGAGUCCCUGGACAACACCUGACACUGAGGCACGAAAGCUAGGGGAGCAAACAGG